RNAcentral lists this ribosomal RNA (486 nucleotides) under uncultured bacterium. RNAcentral describes it as "bacterial SSU rRNA". It matches the Rfam family "Bacterial small subunit ribosomal RNA", at positions 31 to 507 of the family's 1533-position model. The record is from RNAcentral.
GAACGCUGGCGGCAUGCCUAACACAUGCAAGUCGAACGGUAACGCGGAGAGCUUGCUCUCUGGCGACGAGUGGCGGACGGGUGAGUAAUACUUAGGAAUCUACCCAGUAGUGGGGGACAACAUUCGGAAACGGAUGCUAAUACCGCAUACGCACUACGGUGGAAAGUGGGGGACCUUCGGGGCCUCACGCUAUUGGAUGAGCCUAAGUCGGAUUAGCUUGUUGAUGAGGUAAUGGCUCACCAAGGCGACGAUCCGUAGCUGGUCUGAGAGGACGAUCAGCCACACUGGGACUGAGACACGGCCCAGACUCCUACGGGAGGCAGCAGUGGGGAAUAUUGGACAAUGGGCGCAAGCCUGAUCCAGCAAUGCCGCGUGUGUGAAGAAGGCCUGCGGGUUGUAAAGCACUUUCAGUAGAGAAGAAAAGCCUAGGGAUAAUACCCCUGAGUCUUGACGUAACCUACAGAAGAAGCACCGGCUAACUCCGUG